This 218-nucleotide long non-coding RNA is filed under the name Musa acuminata (dwarf banana). Its description in RNAcentral is "long non-coding RNA (MACU_LNC010949)". Lineage: Eukaryota; Viridiplantae; Streptophyta; Magnoliopsida; Zingiberales; Musaceae. The record is from RNAcentral.
UGAUUGAGAGAAAAGUCUUAGAAAAGUCUUAGCAAGUCUUGUUUUCAAUUUGCUAGAGUGUUCACCUCCUUCUUUCUUGCUGAAAAUUUGUAAGAGUGUGAACCGCUUGUAAAAAGUUGUAAGAGGGGUAUUUGCCCUUCCCCUUCAAGAGAUUUGCUAGUGGAAGGUGGGAGCCUCAUCGAAGAGGGCCUCGCAAGUGGAUGUAGAUCAUUUGACCG